Phrynosoma platyrhinos (Desert horned lizard) is the source of this 72-nucleotide non-coding RNA. The record is from the annotation of a GenBank genome assembly. NCBI's taxonomy places the organism in Eukaryota, Metazoa, Chordata, Lepidosauria, Squamata, Phrynosomatidae.
GCCAGUGUGGUGUAGUGGUUUGAGUGUUCGACUGCAACUCUGGGGACCUGGGUUCAAUUCCCUGCUUGGCCA